GCAAGUGAGGGGCAGCGCGGGUGGCAACACCUGGCGGCGACCGGCGGACGGGUGAGUAACACGUAUGCAACCUGGCCCUGCACAGGGGGAAUAGCCCGGAGAAAUCCGGGAUUAAUGCCCCCAUGGGUCCACUGGGGUCCGCGAAUGGGAUCUGGUGGUAAAGAUUCAUCGGUGCAGGAUGGGCAUGCGUUCCAUUAGCUAGUUGGCGGGGCAACGGCCCACCAAGGCGACGAUGGAGUAUGGGGUCUAAAAGGAUGGUCCCACACAUUGGCACUGAGAUACGGGCCAAACUCCUACGGGAGGCAGCAGUGAGGAAUAUUGGUCAAUGGGCGAGAGCCUGAACCAGCCAUCCCGCGUGCAGGAUGAAGGUCUUUAACCAGAUUGUAAACUGCUUUUGCAGGGGACGAAUAAGAAUCACGUGUGGUUCGAUGACAGUACUCUGUGAAUAAGCAUCGGCUAACUCCGUGCCAGCAGCAGC
Molecule: ribosomal RNA, 478 nt
Filed under: uncultured bacterium
Lineage: Bacteria
Description: bacterial SSU rRNA
Rfam family: Bacterial small subunit ribosomal RNA
Source: RNAcentral